CAAGCAAAGAAGCGUGCAUGGUGGAUGCUUAGGCGUCGAAAGCCGACGAAAGACGUGGAAUAGCUGCGAUAAGCCUCGGGAAGCCGCUAAUCAGGCUUUGAUCCGGGGAUCUCUUACAUGCGGAAACGCUCCAAGGGUAACGCCUUGGAAGCCCAUGGUGAAUCCAUAGCCAUGUGGCGGGGAACGAGGGGAAUUGAAACAUCUUAGUACCCUCAGGAAAGGAAAGAAAAAUCGACUCCCUCAGUAGCGGCGAGCGAACGGGGAAUAGCCCAAACCGGUGGCGUGUCAAGGUUGUGGCCGUUGCGUCAUCGGUGUUGUGGGACCUUCAGGUAAUGCCACAGAAUUGCCAAGAAGUUACAAAUCCUUUCUCUAGCAGAAGGUUCUGGAAAGGACCGCCGUAGAGAGUGACAGCCUCGUAAGCGAAAGAGAUUGGACUUCUGAAGUGUUCCCAAGUAGCGUCAGACACGGGAAACCUGGCGUGAAUCCGGGGGGACCACCCCCCAAGGCUAAGUACUUCCGACGACCGAUAGCGACUAGUAGCGUGAGCGAAAAGUGAAAAGUUCCCCUGUGAGGGGAGUGAAAAGUACCUGAAACCAUGUACGUACAAGCGGUAGGAGGCCUAUGCCCUUCGGGGAAUGGCUGACUGCGUGCCUUUUGCAUAAUGAUCCGACGAGUUACGGUGCCGGGCGAGGUUAAGUGCCUCCGGUGCGAAGCCGAAGCGAAAGCGAGUGCGAACAGCGCGUAAAGUCAGGUGCCGUAGACCCGAAAGCAGGUGAUCUAACCAUGGGCAGGGUGAAGCGAAUGUAACAGUUCGUGGAGGCCCGAACCGGUGUAGGUUGAAAACUACUCGGAUGACUUGUGGUUAGGAGUAAAAAGCUAAUCGAACCUGCAGAUAGCUGGUUCUCCCUGAAAUAGCUUUCGGGCUAGCGUAGGGUUAAUUAGCGCAUGGGGGUAGAGAGACUGAAUGCGACUGGGGGGCCACCAGCCUACCCACCGCAACCAAACUCCGAAUACCAUGCGUGGUACCCCUGCAGUCAGACAGUGGGCGAUAAGGUUCAUUGUCGAGAGGGAAACAGCCCAGACCGCCAGCUAAGGUCCCCAAGAUGGACUAAGUGUUGCAAAGGAACUGGGAUUGCAAAGACAGCCAGGAUGUUGGCUUAGAAGCAGCCAUCAUUUAAAGAGUGCGUAAUAGCUCACUGGUCGAGCAGUCCUGGGCCGAUAAUGAACGGGACUCAAGUUCAUCACCGAAGCUGCGGAUUCCAGAAGCUUGGGCUUCUGGAGUGGUAAGGGAGCGUUGAUUGGGCCUUGAAGCCGUACGGUAACGAGCGGUGGAGCGCAAUCAAGUGCUUAUGUCGGAAUGAGUAGCGAGAAAAGAAGUGAGAAUCUUCUUCGCCGAAAACCUAAGGUUUCCUGGGGAAGGUAAAUCCGCCCAGGGUUAGUCGGUCCCUAAGGCGAGGCCGAAAGGCGUAGCCGAUGGGCAACGGGUCAACAUUCCCGUACCACCAGCGAACGUUUGACCGAUGGAGUGACGGAGUUUCAAGGGUCGUCCGGGCGAUAGUCGUCCCGGUGCAAGCCCGAGGGGUGCUGUUGGAAAAUCCGCAGCAUUAAGCCCCAGAGGUGAUGUCGAGGCUUUAAGCCGAAGCGAUUGGAGAAGCUUCCAGGAAAAACUUCUAGGGAGUUCAAAGGUGACCGUACCAAAACUGACACAGGUUGGUGAGGAGAGAAUCCUAAGGCGCUCGAGAUAACCUCUGCUAAGGAACUCGACAAAAUGGCUCCGUAAGUUCGCGAUAAGGAGCGCCCUUGUUGGUGAUGACACUUGCUGUCUGAGCUUUCGAGGGUCACAGAAAAUCGGGAGCGGCGACUGUUUACCUGAAACACAGGACUCUGCUAAGCCCUAAAGGCGAUGUAUAGAGUCUGACGCUUGCCCAAUGCCGGAAGGUUAAGAGGAGGGGUUAGUCGAAAGACGAAGCUCCGAAUUGAAGCCCCGGUGAAUGGCGGCCGUAACUAUGACGGUCCUAAGGUAGCGAAGUUCCUUGUCGGGUAAGUUCCGACGCGCACGAAUAGCGUAACGACUGCUCCAUUGUCUCGGCAGAGGGCUCGGCGAAAUUGUAGUCGAGGUGAAGAUGCCUCGUACCCGCACCAAGACGGAAAGACCCCGUGAACCUUUACUGCAGCCUGGUAUUGGGCUCUGGUACAGCAUGUGUAGGAUAGGUGGGAGACUGUGAAGCGGGCACGCUAGUGUUCGUGGAGUCAAUGGUGAAAUACCACCCUUGCUGUAUUAGUGUUCUAACUCGGUACCGUGAAUCCGGACCGAGGACAGUUUCAGGUGGGCAGUUUGGCUGGGGCGGUCUCCUCCUAAAAGGUAACGGAGGAGUCCCAAGGCACCCUCAGACUGGUUGGCAAUCAGUCGCAGAGCGCAAGGGUACAAGGGUGCUUAACUGUGAGACUCAUAAGUCGAGCAGGUGUGAAAGCAGGGCCUAGUGAUCCGGCGGAUUCCGAGUGGAAGGGCCGUCGCUCAUCAGAUAAAAGGUACUCCGGGGAUAACAGGCUUAUCUCCCCCAAGAGUCCACAUCGACGGGGAGGUUUGGCACCUCGAUGUCGGCUCAUCACAUCCUGGGGCUGGAGAAGGUCCCAAGGGUUCGGCUGUUCGCCGAUUAAAGUGGUACGUGAGCUGGGUUCAGACCGUCGUGAGACAGGUCGGUCCCUAUCUGGUGUGGGUGUAGGACACUUGAGGAGCCCUCUCCCUAGUACGAGAGGAUUGGGAGGGACGAGCCUCUGGUGCACCAGUUGUCACGCUAGUGGCACAGCUGGGUAGCUAAGCUCGGAAAGGAUAAGCGCUGAAAGCAUCUAAGCGCGAAGCCUUCUUCAAGACUAGGUGUCCCCAUUAGGGUCCUGGGAGACUACCAGGUUGAUAGGCGGUAGCUGUAAGCACGGCGACGUGUUUAGGCGAGCCGUACUAAUCGCCCGAUCGGCUUGGUUCCUCCU
RNAcentral lists this ribosomal RNA (2985 nucleotides) under Planctomycetota bacterium. RNAcentral describes it as "Planctomycetes bacterium 23S ribosomal RNA". It matches the Rfam family "Bacterial large subunit ribosomal RNA". The record is from RNAcentral. Lineage: Bacteria; Pseudomonadati; Planctomycetota.